GAUGAACGCUGGCGGCGUGCCUAAUACAUGCAAGUCGAGCGAACAGACGAGGAGCUUGCUCCUCUGACGUUAGCGGCGGACGGGUGAGUAACACGUGUAUAACCUACCUAUAAGACUGGGAUAACUUCGGGAAACCGGAGCUAAUACCGGAUAAUAUAUUGAACCGCAUGGUUCAAUAGUGAAAGACGGUUUUGCUGUCACUUAUAGAUGGAUCCGCCCCGAAUUAGUUAGUUGGUAAGGUAACGGCUUACCAACGCAACGAUGCGUAGCCGACCUGAGAGGGUGAUCGGACACACUGGAACUGAGACACGGUCGAGACUCCUACGGUAGGCAGCAGUAGGGAAUCUUCCGCGAUGGGCGAAAGCUUGACGGAGCAAAGCGGCGUGAGGGAUGAAGGUCUUCGGAUCGUAAAACUCUGUUAUUAGGGAAGAACAAAUGUGUAAGUAACUAUGCACGUCUUGACGGUACCUAAUCAGAAAGCCACGGCUAACUACGUG
RNAcentral lists this ribosomal RNA (497 nucleotides) under uncultured bacterium. RNAcentral's name for it is "partial 16S ribosomal RNA". It matches the Rfam family "Bacterial small subunit ribosomal RNA", at positions 28 to 507 of the family's 1533-position model. The record is from RNAcentral.